This 7548-nucleotide long non-coding RNA is filed under the name Homo sapiens (human). RNAcentral describes it as "HSALNT0364948". Lineage: Eukaryota; Metazoa; Chordata; Mammalia; Primates; Hominidae. The record is from RNAcentral.
UCUCAGGUGAUCCGCCCACCUUGGCUUCCCAGAGUACUGGGAUUACAGGCAGGAGACACCAUGCCUGGCCUUAGAUAUGCAAACUGAAGUUUAAAAAGCUUAGUUCUCUUGCCCAAGGUCUCAUAGCUAGUAAACAUAAAAGAAAAAAAAAAAAAACCUCAGUCAGAAUGGCAGCAUGGGAAGCCCACCUAACUCUCUUCUCUGAGUCCUUUGCCUAUUAAGAAAAACUCUCACCUCCUGGUCCAGGCACGAAACAACACUGUCUAUCCGACAGAGCCUGGGCUGGGAGCAGCACAGGGUCUAGACUUGCCUCUGCGUAGACCUCAGUGUAUUCUAAGAUCCUACUUUUCUUGGCCUGUUUCUCCAUCUACAAAGUGGAAGUCAUGUUCCUUGCCCCUCCCAGCACUUAAAGCUAUUAUAGAGAGGAAUGAGUUCAAAGGUAUGAAAACAUGUAGGAAGGAAAACGUACAAACGAUCUUCUAGAGUGACUUAUAAUAAAACUCUAGGCAUAUACCUCCAUGCUUAACUCCCUUCUUAGGCAUUCUCCUUUUGACUUCUAAGCAAGCAAGAUGUUCUAUCAUAAAAAGACAAUCAGUUGCAUUCACUGAAAGUAGAAAAAUGGACUCUCACAUUGAUGAAUGAUAGCAAACGACAAAGGCCGAUAUAGACAAGGUUUCCUGGUUAACCUUCAGUUCACCAAAAAGUCCUUUGAUUACAUCUUCUCUGAGCAUCCUAGUUAAUCAAGGCUUGUCGAGCAGAUCCUCACUCUCGGCUGUAAAGGCCUCUGCUCUUCCCCAUGUCCCUCUUCUUGUGCCCCUUAUAGUCUGCCCUUUACUCACUGCCCAGAUUGGACUCCUUCUCCCAGAACAGCAGGUAAAUUCAAUUAUCUUGGGGCUGAGUACGUAAAUUUUAGGCCUAGGCAUCCCUCCUAGAGACUCCAGAGUUGUCAGUUCCUUUAAAGUCAUUAAUACACAUAUACGGGUACGGAUGUGCUUCCACUGUGAUUCCACUCUUGGUGACAGCUGGGAAAGAGGCCCCACCACCUGACCCACCCGUCACAACACCCACCAUCCCCAUCUCAGACACGGAGCUCCAGAGACUGCCACCCUCCCUUCCCCUCCCCUGGGCCCCUCAGUGGCACCUCGAUGCUGCCAGUCUCUCCAGGCCUGCUGUGGCUUUUAGAAAACAGAGCAUGUCUAUUUUUAGCCCUUCUCAGCCUAAUAAUACUCCCCAACACCCAUUCAGCUUAAUCACUUUAUUGAGGACAAGAAGCGGGCUCUCUAGCCCGGGUGCUUCUGAUGUUAGGAAGUAGUAAAAUGUUCAAACUGGUUAAAAAUGACACUCAUUGGCUUGCCUUUGGUGUUUCUGAAACCUUAAUUGUGGCUCAGGCUGUGGAUCUAAAGAGCCUUGCAGGUUUCAGAGUCUGGCUUCCUUACCCCCUGCACCAUAAUUGAGGUGUUACAUUACAACUACGGCACUGACAUUUGCAGGCUCAAAAUUCAGCAGCCUUAAGAUGCCACACUUUUCAAAACAGAAAUAUUGCCUGCCACACUUAAUGCCUAUUCUAAGUACGAACCACCUCCCUGCCGGAAAAAAACAAACCAAAACAAAACAAAACUCGUCUUUUCUGGCUCCUCCCAUGCCAGAGGUCCAGGUGGGAAACUAUUUGCCAUAUUAAGCCCAUAGCUGCUUGAAAACAGAAAGGUUUGUUUGGUGUAAUUAGAAGACCUGCGAGUUUGGUGUGUGCAGGAAAUAGACUGUUGGCAGCUCUUCCACGUGCACCUUUGAGACCGUGACUUCCAAAGCUUCAGGGCAAGUGAAAGAAUUCCAAUCAAAACGGGACUGGUUUGGGGGAAGGAGGAGGGAGUGCGUUAACUACUGGGGAAAAGUCUGGAAGACAUGUCUUUGUCAGGUUGAAUCCUGGAGAGAGCCAACAAAAGGAGCCCCUGACUACAGAGGUAUCCGCCCCUCUCUCCCACUGGCUUCCAUCUACGCGGUGAACAAGCUCAGUCUUCACUAAAGGCAUACACAGGGGCUUCACCCACGUGGUCCGAGGAGGUGGGCUGGGGCACGUCCUGAGACCGUCCUCGGAUGCUUCCUCCAUUGGCCCUCCAGGGUGGCCAACUCUGUCCUCAGCCUCACCCAGAGGCAGCCCUCUGACCUGUCUUCUCAACCUAGGCUUUGUGGGGUUCUAGGUACUCGUAACAUAUUUUUUAGUCCAUCAAAUCCUAUAUGAGAAAUUUACAAUCUUCUGGGUCCGCAUCCAAUUUUAAGCCUUGCUUUCACAUGUGUUUGUUUUAUGGAUGCCUCAACUUGGAGGGGCCCCCUGAAGUGGCAGCUUUUCAUCUUUAAUGCAGUGUUUCUCAACCUCCAGGCCAAGGAGGCCCACAGCCAUCACAGGGAUUGGAGGACUCCCAAGUGCAAGAAACUGGGCUCUAAGUCUCUGCCAGGUGGCUAUGGGCGGAGGAGGAUGAGGAGGAAAGAGAUGCCUGCCUGGAUGGUUCUAGCUCACAGAAGUUCUUGCUUCCUCUUGUCCAGAAAGCCAAACCAUGCAUCCUGAGCCCUUCACUUCUUCAACAGAUAUUUCCUGAGAGCCUGCUAUGUGUCCCGCUGUGAGGAUGCAACAGAGCACACUACUGACAAGGUCCCCGCCUUCCAUCCUUGUCUUCUCAUCCAGAUUGCUGACUCCUGGGGCUGGAGGGAAGCAGGCAGCACCUCAGGUCUGUUCCUUACCAUGUGCCCAUCCGCAUGCCUGCUCACUCACCCAUUAGGUUAUUUUUCAAAUGACUGAGUUAUAACCACCAUUCAGGUUACUAAGCGAGGUAGUAUAGGGGACACAAAUAAAUCACAUGUUCUCAAGAAGCUUACAGUCUAGUAGGCAAAAAAGGCCAAGCAAAUAAAUAGCUAUGUAACAAAGAAGGUGACAGGUGCCAUAAGAGGGGAUAGAUAAAUGGCUAAGAGCGAUCAGAUGGAGGGCGGCCUCUUGUCCUGCCCAGACAGACACAUCCUAGGGCUGAGUCGGCUGACUUUUCAAAAGAGAAGAGAAAAAGGAACGCUCGCCGGUCGGGCACCAGGCCUAGCAUGGGAAACAGGCAGGACCUAUUUAAAACAACUAGAGCCAGGUUAGAGCCUUUUCUGGCAAGUCCCAAAACUCCUGGAGCUGAUCAGAUAACCAGAUAGAACCAAUACUGUCAAAAUCCUAUGGAUUUUAAAAAAUCAUUUAGCUGUUGCCGGGAUGAUAAAAGAAUCUUGCCAUUCAAAGGGAAGGUGCAGGCUCAGAGGAAGGAGGGGUCGCUGGGAGAGCAGGAGGGGGCUGGGGAGAAAAGGGAACGCCCUACAAAUAUAGAUCAGGGUUAGGGAGAAAAACCAGACGGCCAAGGACAUUUAUGCAUUGUGGUUGCUUUACUACCUAAUUAAUUCAGUAAUUUCAAAAACAAUUUUAUUUAUGUUCCAUUUACCACAUCAAAGGUGAAAAAAAUCCUACUGAUGCUAAAAUAAUACCUCAAGGCAUCUAUUUUUAAUCAGUUAAAAAAAAAAAAAGCAAGGGGUAGAGGGAGAAUUUAAAAAAAAAAAAAAACAAAAAAACUCGCCCUGGUUUCUAUACAAUCUCUCCUGGGCAGACCACCAACCCUCAGAGAGAGAGAGAGAGAGAGAAAACACAGCCAAGCCCUCUCUGAGAGCCUUCCUGGCUGCUGAAAACCAAGCUUGUCAAAAAAAAAAAAAAAAAAAAACCAAAAAAAAAAAAAACCACAAAUCCAUAAUGGCCCGAGGCUCCUCUCCAAUCUAUUUUCUGCUCAGCUGGUUUUAAAUGAAGUUAUUAUGAGUCAUUAAAACACCCGCAAGCCAGUGGAAGUCAGCCAAUUACAAUUUUAAAUUUAGCCUGUUCUCUGCCCCAUUCUCUUGUUUUCUUCCUUUGCCCACAGAAUGCUGCUGCUGUUAUUUUUUCCCUCCCUUCCUUUACCCAAAGUGAAAGAGACAGUUAUGAAAAUGCAUAGUAUUGCACGGAGCACAGAAUCAUUCAUAUGAAACUCAAAUUAUUAGACAAAAAAAUGCAAACUUCUGCCCCCUCCAAAGUCAACCCAAGCCUUGCCUCAGCCCACUGGAUUCCUCGGAAACUCCAGUCUGAGCCCCAAAGGUCAUGGGGCUAUUUUUAAAAUGAAAAGGUUCUUCAGUGGGGUCUUGUUGAGAAAUGUUCACAUCCAUCACACAAAAUCAACAUUUUCAUGGCUGAAUCCAAAAGGUAGAAACACACCACCACCAUCUGAGAAUUAAUAACAAACAAUGAAGUUGAAAUUCAAAGGUAAAGCAGGCUUUGCAAUCAAGCAUGAAUGUCGGUAGAAGUCACUCGAUAUGAUGAGCUCAUUUAGUUUUUAAAUCUUCAAGGUAAUGGUCUGUGCGGGCCCAUUACAGCAAAGGAACAAAUUUGAGUAUUUCAUGUAAAUGCUUCUUCUCAAUCUCUUUUUGUUCCCAUGCUUGGACACACAAACACACACAUGCACACAUGGUGUUCUGAUUAGGACUGUGUCCCCGAUUUCUAGGAGACACUGCAGCUUUUCCAUACCCUCCAACAAGUGAGUCCCUCUACCCAAAGGACUGUCCAAUCCUGCAAUCUUCACCAACCUCAUUUAAUGGAUGAGUCUGCAAGCUCCACAGAACAGAUGCCCAGAUGUCUGCAAACACCUUCCAUCACCUCCAGGCCCCCUCUCCCUCAUGGUUACACACACACACACACACACACACACACACACACACACACACACACGUAGACCAGUCCUCUGCCCCACGAUACUUGCAGUUCUAUGCCCCAAGAACGCAGGAGAGCCACAGCCACAGACCUAGGCAGUUGAACACCUGGGAGAGGAGUGAAUGCCAUGCCAUUUCACUGACAGUCACCGAGGGUUAGUGUGGAGGCCAGGAUGCUACCAAGAGUGGCUGCCUACCUGGUUGCUCUGGGUGAGCUGGAACUCAGGGUCCAUCCCUACCAAGCAACCUCACUGAGAAGAGCAUGUGAAAUACCAUGAUGUUUCCAGGCCCAUUGCGACCUGCAGCCAUUUGCCAAAGGCUUGACCUCUAUGGAACAUAAACCUGAGGCCUGUGAGCACAGAUGUCCCAGGUUCUGAAGGUCCCCAGAGCUGGGCAGAUGACACCCUCCUAUCCUCAGCCCUGAGCCACCCCACUAAGUAGUUCCAAGUGAGACCCCUCAACAGCAACCUCUCAAGUGGUUCACCCAGGCCUGUUCUCCCGGAAGCCAGUAAAGCUGAAGCUUCAGGCCUCUCCCUGGCACUGACCCCUUUCCUGGGAGAGGCUCUAACACCUGGUAUUUAUAAUCCUUUUCUGAGAGACAGCACCCAAAACUGAGUACGCUUCAGGCCCCACCAAACCCAGAUCUGCCCUAGUAGUACAAACACUUUUAUAACAGGAUAUUCAUUUAUUUGACAGAUACUAUCAGUGCACAACACUCCUAUGUACCAGGCACUUUGCUAGGGCAUGAGUAUGUGAGGGCAGCUGCUGAGUCCUGCACUCAGGUGCACAGUACUGGCCCAGGAGAGCACAGUACCAGCAAAGUCCAAUAAGGGCCUUGUAAAGCCUAACCCUGCUAAACUACUUGCCCAUUCUCAACACAACUGGGAUUUGGGGGGAACAUCCAGGGACCUGGGAAAAGCAGGGGCCAAGCCAGAGAAGCCCCACUCUGGCCCCUGAGAGGCAAGGGACAAGAGCACAUGAGAUUCUAGGUGCUGGGAGCAUUCUAGGGACACUGGCUCAAGAGUCCUCCCCUCUGGGGAGACCUCUGGGCCAGAGUGACAUUUUGUUUUCCAUUCCAACCACUGCCCAGCUUCCAAGCUAAAAAAAACUUUGAGGUGGUGGGUUAGGACAGGGAGGCAGGGAGGCAGGGAGAGACAGAGACAGAGACAAAGACAGAGAAAGAGAGAGACAGAGAAAAGACCAACGAAGACAGAUGGAGACAAAGACAGAUGAAGACAUAAGAAGGAAGACAGAAAAUACACAGGAGUGUCAAGAAAAGGCCGAGGCUGACACAGACACAAAGGACAGGGACAAAGAGAUGAAGUGAGAUGAAAGCAGAUUGGGGAGAAAUAGAAGGAGAAGAGAAGAGCUGAAAAAUAAAUACCUGCCACCACAGAGACCUGGACAAGAGCACUGAAAGUAAGGGCCGCAGUAGCGUGAUGGAUGCCCAAAGCAGGGUGGGGCCCCUCAGGCACAGCCCUGGAUACAGAUACCCAGGCCCAGCCUGGUUAGAGGGCUAGGGAAUGGGGCUGAGGGCAAGAGAAAGCACGGCCAGGCCUCCUAAGAACGCUUCCGGCAGGGUGUGUGUCUGCGAAGCCAAGGGAAGACGAAAAGGCCCUGGAAAUCAGAAAUGGCAUUGCCAUUAUCAGGUUGAUCCCACGUAAAUAUCCCUCCCCAAUAACCCCAUAUCUAUUCAUCCUCAGACAAUAACAAGGACCAGCAAGGCAACCCAGAACGUAGGAAGGAUGGCAGGAGCAAAGGAGAGGAAAGGGAGACUAGGAGAAUAAAUGGCAGACAGACAGAUGUCCCAGCAUCCAUCCCUCUAGGGCACCAUUCAUUUCCUAAUAAGACCGUCAUCCUCUAGCUGUGCAAAAUCAUGUGGUGGCAUGAGACAGGGUUUGUGUGGAAGAAACCACCCUAUGCUGAGAUAGAAAAAUCAUCGAGAGAGGGAGAAGGAAGAAGGUUAUUACAUAAUUUCCACUUUCUUCCCUCCACCCUCAAAGUAAUGUUCUAUCUGACAGGCUCCUCUCUGAGGGGGGAAAAAUGACAAAUCCAAUCCAAAAUUCAACAGCCUGUGUUCUGUUCAGAGAGCACACAGUGUACUGUACAGCCCAUAAAACUCCAAACAGCCUCCAGACACUGCCGCAAUCGUCCUCCAUCAAAACACUUUGUCUUGCAUACAAAAAUAAGAUACAGCGCUGAACAGAAUACAAAAUCAGCCCAUUACAGUACAGGGAGACUGCUACUUAGCAACGAGGGGGCUCUAAAGCCUCGAUGCUCUACAGGAAGCAAAAUCUGUCGAGCCUGUUGGGCAAACGAUAAACAUUAGCAGUAUUAAAAAACACAAAAGCCAUGUAAAUGGAUAGACAUAAUGUGGAAACAAAUUUAUAGAAUAAAUUGGGAUGGGGGAUUUGCGGGGUGGGAGGAGAUGCUGGGAUCCAGAGGGGUAGAUGGAACGAGCUUCCCCAACCCCUGCUAAGGCACCAUAUGGAGACAGAGACAUGUGUAUUUGGGGGCAGGGACAUGUGAACCCCCUCUUCACACAGGGGCUGUAGGUGAAGGGGUGGGAGAGAACUGGUGAAAACACUGUUUAAAACCAUGACCUGCAAUGAACUUUCCCAACUUUCUCGGUUCAGCUGGCCUGACUAGGACCGGGGGACCCAGGCACGCAAAACCGCAGCACUAAGGUGGCAGUUACGUGGGGGAUUUAUCUGCCCUGGGGCCAGCAUCGCACCCAGCACCAUCAUGGAACCUGAUACUUGCUGUAAACAAAAUCCCUGGCCAAAAAACAAAAACCAAAAAAAA